RNAcentral lists this ribosomal RNA (497 nucleotides) under uncultured bacterium. RNAcentral's name for it is "partial 16S ribosomal RNA". It matches the Rfam family "Bacterial small subunit ribosomal RNA", at positions 28 to 507 of the family's 1533-position model. The record is from RNAcentral.
GAUGAACGCUGGCGGCGUGCCUAAUACAUGCAAGUCGAGCGAACGGACGAGAAGCUUGCUUCUCUGAUGUUAGCGGCGGACGGGUGAGUAACACGUGGAUAACCUACCUAUAAGACUGGGAUAACUUCGGGAAACCGGAGCUAAUACCGGAUGAUAUUUUGAACCGCAUGGUUCAAAAGUGAAAGACGGUCUUGCUGUCACUUAUAGAUGGAUCCGCGCUGCAUUAGCUAGUUGGUAAGGUAACGGCUUACCAAGGCAACGAUGCGUAGCCGACCUGAGAGGGUGAUCGGCCACACUGGAACUGAGACACGGUCCAGACUCCUACGGGAGGCAGCAGUAGGAAAUCUUCCGCAAUGGGCGAAAGCCUGACGGAGCAACGCCGCGUGAGUGAUGAAGGUCUUCGGAUCGUAAAACUCUGUUAUUAGGGAAGAACAUAUGUGUAAGUAACUGUGCACAUCUUGACGGUACCUAAUCAGAAAGCCACGGCUAACUACGUG